This 463-nucleotide ribosomal RNA is filed under the name uncultured bacterium. Its description in RNAcentral is "partial 16S ribosomal RNA". It matches the Rfam family "Bacterial small subunit ribosomal RNA", at positions 339 to 795 of the family's 1533-position model. The record is from RNAcentral.
CUACGGGGGGCUGCAGUGGGGAAUAUUGCACAAUGGGCGCAAGCCUGAUGCAGCCAUGCCGCGUGUAUGAAGAAGGCCUUCGGGUUGUAAAGUACUUUCAGCGGGGAGGAAGGGAGUAAAGUUAAUACCUUUGCUCAUUGACGUUACCCGCAGAAGAAGCACCGGCUAACUCCGUGCCAGCAGCCGCGGUAGUACGGAGGGUGCAAGCGUUAAUCGGAAUUACUGGGCGUAAAGCGCACGCAGGCGGUUUGUUAAGUCAGAUGUGAAAUCCCCGGGCUCAACCUGGGAACUGCAUCUGAUACGGGCAAGCUUGAGUCUCGUAGAGGGGGUAGAAUUCCAGGUGUAGCGGUGAAAUGCGUAGAGAUCUGGAGGAAUACCGGUGGCGAAGGCGGCCCCCUGGACGAAGACUGACGCUCAGGUGCGAAAGCGUGGGGAGCAAACAGGAUUAGAUACCCUCGUAGUC